GAUGAACGCUGGCGGCGUGCCUAAUACAUGCAAGUCGAGCGAACAGACGAGGAGCUUGCUCCUCUGACGUUAGCGGCGGACGGGCGAGUAACAAGUGGAUCACCUUCCUCUAUGACUUGGAUAAUUUCGGGAAAACGGAGCUAAUAACGGCUCAUAUAUUGAACCGCAUGGAUCAAUAGAGAAUGGCGGCUUUGCUGUCACUUAUAGAUGGUUCCGGGCCGCAUUAGCUAGUUGGUAAGGUAACGGCUUACCAAGGCAACGUUGCGUAGCCGACCUGAGAGGGUGAUCAGCCACACUGGAACUGAGACACGGUCCAGACUCCUACGGGAGGCAGCAGUAGGGAAUCUUCCGCAAAGGGCGAAAGCCUGACGGAGCAACGCCGCGUGAGUGAUGAAGGUCUUCGGAUCGUAAAACUCUGUUAUUAGGGAAGAACAAAUGUGUAAGUAACUAUGCACGUCUUGACGGUACCUAAUCAGAAAGCCACGGCUAACUACGUG
RNAcentral lists this ribosomal RNA (497 nucleotides) under uncultured bacterium. Its description in RNAcentral is "partial 16S ribosomal RNA". It matches the Rfam family "Bacterial small subunit ribosomal RNA", at positions 28 to 507 of the family's 1533-position model. The record is from RNAcentral.